RNAcentral lists this long non-coding RNA (714 nucleotides) under Manihot esculenta (cassava). Its description in RNAcentral is "long non-coding RNA (MESC_LNC010659)". The record is from RNAcentral. Lineage: Eukaryota; Viridiplantae; Streptophyta; Magnoliopsida; Malpighiales; Euphorbiaceae.
GGUUAGUAUGCAGUGAGAAUGGAGGCAGAGAGCUCGAUUCUCCAGCAGUUCUGGAUCCAAGAAACCGGAAAAAAAAAACAAUUUCUUUUGAUCAAACCAGACAAGUUGUUAAUGUUAGACAGCCCCAGAUAACGAAAAUGCUUGAGAGUAGAAUGCAGAGCCGAGGAAGUUACAAGAAUACUAUAAAAUAACACAUUAGAGAUCACAUCUCAGAGUUUACACUACAGCAAUCUCAGACAGAACAUGAAAACAAUAAAUCUCUGAAGGAAAUCUAUUACAAAUGGAACAGAGAAGAGAAAGCGAGGACUGUAUAAAAUGGUAAAUGGUGUUGCAUUAGGGAUACGGAAAUAUGCCCUUACUCUUGUCGGGAUCAGAGCAGCAACAGAUAGCUUUCUUGUUUGGUGCUAUGGAAUGGACCAAGCACUCAAUCACCAUGCUCUUCACCAGCUUCUUCUUUGCAGGGAAAACACUUCCAGCCUUUGAUUUAAAGCAUGAAUCCUUUGAAGCCUUUGAUCCUUCUCCUCCUUGCUUCAUCUCCAUCUCUCUCUCUCUCUCUCUCUCUCUUUCUGUGUGUUUCUUCAAUGUGUUAAUGUCAUGUUUAAGCUAGUGUGUUGUGCAAAUACUUGACCACAUCAACUGACAGAGGAAACUUCGGGGUUAAGCAUUGUAGAUUAUACAUUUUUCUUGCUUACAUAGAAAAUAGAAGGAAUUUUU